AAUCUUAUAGUAUACAAGUAUACAUUAAUUUGCAAAAUUAAAAAUGUUAAAUAAACUAAGAUUU
Molecule: transfer RNA, 64 nt
Filed under: Ammothea clausi
Lineage: Eukaryota; Metazoa; Arthropoda; Pycnogonida; Pantopoda; Ammotheidae
Description: tRNA-Cys
Source: RNAcentral